GACGAACGCUGGCGGCGUGCCUAAUACAUGCAAGUAGAACGCUGAAGAGAGGAGCUUGCUCUUCUUGGAUGAGUUGCGAACGGGUGAGUAACGCGUAGGUAACCUGCCUGGUAGCGGGGGAUAACUAUUGGAAACGAUAGCUAAUACCGCAUAAAAUGGAUUAUCGCAUGAUAAUGCAUUGAAAGGUGCAAAUGCAUCACUACCAGAUGGACCUGCGUUGUAUUAGCUAGUUGGUGGGGUAACGGCUCACCAAGGCGACGAUACAUAGCCGACCUGAGAGGGUGAUCGGCCACACUGGGACUGAGACACGGCCCAGACUCCUACGGGAGGCAGCAGUAGGGAAUCUUCGGCAAUGGACGGAAGUCUGACCGAGCAACGCCGCGUGAGUGAAGAAGGUUUUCGGAUCGUAAAGCUCUGUUGUAAGAGAAGAACGAGUGUGAGAGUGGAAAGUUCACACCUGUGACGUAUCUACCAGAAAG
Molecule: ribosomal RNA, 479 nt
Filed under: Streptococcus sp. oral taxon 071
Lineage: Bacteria; Bacillati; Bacillota; Bacilli; Lactobacillales; Streptococcaceae
Description: bacterial SSU rRNA
Rfam family: Bacterial small subunit ribosomal RNA
Source: RNAcentral